AUGCUGCUAUGCAUGGCCAGUGCAAUCAGCCCGGAAGGAGAAGCACUCCUCCGGUGGAAGUCCACUUUGCUCAAUUCCACCUACCUGUCAUCAUGGUCGCAUGCCGAAUCGACCUGUGAUUGGUUCGGUGUCACCUGUGACAAUGCCGGCCAUGUUACCGCACUCGAGCUAUCCUGGUUCAGCCUCAAUGGCACGCUCAACGCCUUGUACUUCCCGGCAUUCCGGAACAUCACCACACUUGACCUCUGCGGCAACAACCUCAUCGGUACCAUCCCAGAAAACAUAUCGCUGCUGCUCACCUUGGCCUACCUGGAUUUGAGCAACAACUAUUUUGUUGGUGCGAUCCCCCAUCAACUCGGCAAGCUCCCAUGGAUUCGUUAUAUCGAUCUUGGGAAUAACUACUUAACCAACCCAGACCCUGCCAAGUUCUCGCCUUUGUCCACCGUGCAAACCUUACAUCUAAAUGAUAACAAUCUCAACGGCACUUUUCCACAGUUCAUCCUGAACCGCACCAACGUUAGGUUGAAGGACUUCGACCUAUCAGUAUUGCAAACAACUCCUUCACCGGAAGCAUUCCACGGGAGGUCAGCAGAUGGGAGUCCCUGCAGUACCUCCUCCUUUCUGGCAACUGCUUCAACAGCUCAAUCCCCGCGGAGCUAG
This 660-nucleotide ribosomal RNA is filed under the name Triticum aestivum (bread wheat). Its description in RNAcentral is "partial small subunit ribosomal RNA". Lineage: Eukaryota; Viridiplantae; Streptophyta; Magnoliopsida; Poales; Poaceae. The record is from RNAcentral.